AUUGAACGCUGGCGGCAUGCUUUACACAUGCAAGUCGAACGGCAGCGCGGGCUUCGGCCUGGCGGCGAGUGGCGAACGGGUGAGUAAUAUAUCGGAACGUACCCAAGAGUGGGGGAUAACGUAGCGAAAGUUACGCUAAUACCGCAUACGAUCUAAGGAUGAAAGCAGGGGAUCGCAAGACCUUGUGCUCCUGGAGCGGCCGAUAUCUGAUUAGCUAGUUGGUGGGGUAAAGGCCCACCAAGGCAACGAUCAGUAGCUGGUCUGAGAGGACGACCAGCCACACUGGAACUGAGACACGGUCCAGACUCCUACGGGAGGCAGCAGUGGGGAAUUUUGGACAAUGGGGGCAACCCUGAUCCAGCAAUGCCGCGUGAGUGAAGAAGGCC
Molecule: ribosomal RNA, 386 nt
Filed under: uncultured bacterium
Lineage: Bacteria
Description: bacterial SSU rRNA
Rfam family: Bacterial small subunit ribosomal RNA
Source: RNAcentral